This 253-nucleotide ribosomal RNA is filed under the name uncultured bacterium. RNAcentral describes it as "partial 16S ribosomal RNA". It matches the Rfam family "Bacterial small subunit ribosomal RNA", at positions 524 to 776 of the family's 1533-position model. The record is from RNAcentral.
UACGUAGGCAGCAAGCGUUGUUCGGAAUUACUGGGCGUAAAGCGUGCGUAGACGGUCAUGUAAGUCGGAUGUGAAAGCCCCGGGCUCAACCUGGGAAUUGCAUUCGAGACUGCAUGGCUUGGGUGCGGAAGAGGGAAGCGGAAUUUCCGGUGUAGCGGUGAAAUGCGUAGAUAUCGGAAGGAACACCAGUGGCGAAAGCGGCUUCCUGGUCCGACACCGACGUUCAGGCACGAAAGCGUGGGGAGCAAACAGG